RNA transcript from Protopterus annectens (West African lungfish), 4224 nucleotides. It is a transcript of the gene named endothelin 3, with no coding region annotated. The record is from RefSeq and is a predicted model, not a curated record. The transcript is spliced from 5 exons. NCBI's taxonomy places the organism in Eukaryota, Metazoa, Chordata, Ceratodontiformes, Protopteridae.
CAGCUUCUCCAACUUAUAUAUAAGAACUCCCUCCCUUCCACUUUUAGAGCAGCUUAAUAGUACAAGAUGUUCCUUUUUGACGGGUUCAGAUCUCGUUGGAUUAACCGGGAAAAAUGGCUUUUAUAAUUCGCUUGGCUGUCUGACAACAUUGAAGGACAUCAAUGCGGUUUUUAAACUGGAGUUAAAACAGUUUGGAAUAUUAUUUUACUGCAGAGGAAUUUAACUAGGACCUUCUACUGGCUAAGCAUUUUUUACUCAAGUUCGUUCCUAAAAAAUUCAUGGAGCUGGAAUUUUGGAUAGUCCUGAGCUGCACCAUUACAAUUGUUACAACAGGCUUUCCCCUUGGUCUGCCCACCAAGUUGUUUAGUGGAAGCAUCUUGUAUGUAGAAAAAACGAAGGAAGAUCAGGACUUUGGAACUGCUGGCUAUCAAGGCCUUUUAAAGGCCUCUGGUACGGAGCUCAGUGUAAAGUUUGAUUUGAAUUCCAUUCCACUGGAUACACAAAGCACUUCACAUAAAGACUCUUUUCAAGGAACUGCAGAGUCUGCUGUGUCUACACUGAAUAUCUCCAAGCUGGAGUCCCAUCGUAGGAGAAAGCGCUGUACUUGUUUCACUUACAAAGAUAAGGAGUGUGUGUACUAUUGUCAUCUGGACAUUAUAUGGAUUAACACACCUGAGCAUACUUUGCCAUAUGGCCUAGGAAACUACAGAGGUAAACGAUCUACAAAGGAGUUUCCAAACAAUUCAAAAUUUAAACAUCUAUUACGUUGUUCAUGUGCAAAACGAAAUGACAUACAAUGCUUGAAAUUCUGCUCAGGAAAGCAAGAAGCUUGGAGAAAUAAAAAUUCACAUGAAGAGCAAGAAGAUGAACUGUCAGAGAAGUACACAGGCACUCAAAAACAUCUCCAGAGUCAGUGAAAAGCCAAUAACCACAAUCUGCAAAUAGUAAGUUGCAUUCCAAGGCAGUGGGCAACUGACAUACAGAUGGUGAAGAAAAGCUCAAAAUGAUCAUCUUCUCUGAUUUAAGGUUUCUUAUGAAUAUUUUAAGAGGAUGGGAAUUCUACAGUGCCAAACACAAACAGAAGCAUGGAAGUAAGAAUACUAGACAAUCAAUGCUUUAUGAACAGCCUAGAACUCUGAAUACUAGUGGGAAAUGACAAGGACACUGUCCAGUUUGCACUGUGAUUGACAUGGAUAAGAAUCUGAAAAAGCUUCUGACUUUAAACAAGAAGUCAUCCAUUGGGGAAAAGCUUUUACAAGUACAACAUCAAAAGACGACACUGUGAAAGUCAGUGGCAAGAUUUUAGUUAUACAUGUACACAUACAGAAAAACAGUAUGCAUAGGUUUGUUUAUGGAAAGGUUGCAUAUCUCUAGAUUUGGACAAGAUGAUGAAACUGAAAGUAUGACUUAUAAAGGUAAAUGUUACUUCUUUGCAGCAUUUCUAAUUCACGGCUGCCAUUGCUUAGGAACAAGCAGAACAUGCAUUUCUAGUAUAUGCACCAUACAGUCUCCAAUUUAUUUUAUGGAACUUUUACAAAACAGAUAUUUAAACAGUCUGUUUUAACUUUCAUAUAUAUUACUAUCAAAUGCAGCACAGUUGAAAUUCUGAGCAUCGUGUUUUUAGAAAAUCAUAUGGAAGAACAAUUCUUACAAACUCAGAAGUUUAAAUUAUGAAGAGAGGCAUGUUAUAACAGUGGAAUACAGUGGCAACACAAUAGAUUACAUUAUACCGUAAAGUAAUAUUAACAGCUGGAAAAUGUUUUAUGAACUUUCUGAUGGGAAAGAUACAGGAAAAGAAAUCAUAGUUUUGUGCUAUCUGAUAUCUGUUUUAUAUUGUGAAGUUGGAAACAAAUAAUGUUCUGUUGUCCAGCUGAAGUUCCAUGUUAAAGUUAAAACAGUUUUCAUUUGAUUUCUGCACCUUAAAAAGGCUAGAAUAUCUUUCUGCAGAAUUAAAAAAAAUCUUGCAAGAGAAGAAAAGGUUGCCCUCAGAGAUUAUAACUGGACAUUUGUUUUGCAGAAAAUCAAGAGACAGCAAAAGAGAAAUUGUUUUUAGUAUGUCCUUAUUUCUUUGGCAUAUUUCAUAUAAAAUGAUGUGGUUCUUCGGUAAAUCAAUUCUAAUUUAUGUAUCGACUACAAUUUGAAAAUGGCGUAUAUUUUUCAAAUGAAAGGCAAUAACAUCUGAAACACACUGUAAAGAACUAUAACCUGGGACUGUAGUAUUAAUUUACAUACUAAACAUGAAUAUGCAUUGGAGAACAAACCCUAAUAACCAUACCGGAACAGCGAACAAACUAUAAUUAAUAUUGUAAGGAUUCUUUUCUAAGGACUUAGAUGGAAUGAAUUUGGUAAAUAUAAAGGAAUAGGGCAGGUCUCAGCAAGGCAGACAAGAAGUAAAUAUUCCAUGAAUAAAUUAUUUUACUUUAUAAUAUUUUUUUACAAAGUCACACAAGAUAAAUUUAUUUAGCUGAUGUGGCCUUUUCUCUUUAAAAACAAAACACUAUUUAUUUAAAGAAAUGCGAUAAUUGCUGCUUUUGGUUGUUAACACUGCUGCAAGGAAAAGUUUAUAUUUUGCUAUAGUUAAUGCACUAAAAGCAGCUACCAGUGCCAGACUUAAAUCUGAAAAGAUUAAAUAUUGGCUAGACUUGUGUAUUUUGCUUAGUCAUAUGUAAAGCACAUGUGCACUGUUAGUAGCAUUUUUACAUUUCUAAGUAUAAGCUUGGAUACCCUAAAAACACAGUGAGAGUAAAAUUUUGCAGUAAAUUGCAUAGAGACGGGUGACAGAAUAAGUUUACUGAAAUGAAAGUCUUGUCUCACACAAAAGGUCUUUAAUACUAUACUUAAAUAGGCAGAUACAAAACUGCAUAGUCAAGUACAGCAAUACUGUUGGUAUAUGAGGUAGAAGGUUGUUUUAUGCAAUUGUAAAAAAUGUUUUUUUUUUCCAGCAAUGGAUUAUAGUACUUCCUGAUGAAACACUAUCAGUUUAACACUGCAGCUUACAUUACUUCACAAUUACUCAAAUUCCCACCCCCCCAUACAAUGAUUUUUUCUAUAUGCAAAUUUUAGUAUGCUUUUAAAUGGUGUGUGUGAAAGACAUGCAUUGCAUCAGUUACUGCAAAUUAAUGUGUACAUUACAAACCAGAAAGAUUUGAUGAUAUGAAACAGGAUGUGACACCUGUCUCUCAAGAUAAUGACAUCCAAAUAAAAUUACAGUAAAGGCUGCUGAAGGAAGAAGGUGUUAAUUCAUCAUGACAACAAUGCAUGGAAGAGUUAAUGUAGAAAAGAAGAAUUGUAUUUUAUCACUUAAACAAGUGAUAUAACACUAUAGCUAACAUAUAAUCUUUUUUUAUUUUGUCAUUAAAAAACAUGUAUAACGAUUUGACAACUCAUAAGUGAUAACUGAUAACUUACCAGAAAACAAUAAAACACGCAGGUUAUAUGAUAACUAGGUUUACAAUAAAGUACACAGAUUUUUCAGCUACCUGACCUUUUGGACUAACAGGAACCCUUCAUCAAGAUCUAAUAUGUUAUUAGAAUGGAUAACUUCUUAACUCCUGACAAAGGGCGACUGUUAUUUUAAAUACUUGAGUGACUAUAAUAUCUACGUAGGUCCAAUACAAAGAAUUACAAAACCUGUGUGAUCCAGUAAUUUCAGGGAAACUAAAGCUGUAGAUAAGUAUAUUUACCAUAGCAAGAGGUCUUAAUGAUAUUGCUAUUCAAACAGAAAAUUAUAACAUUAGGGUUAUUUUCCCAGCUCUCUUGCUUUUCUUGACCUGAAUUUUUCAAAGCUGUGGCCUAGUAUGUUCUUUGCAUAGACCAACAAAGGUUCUUGCUCAUGCUAAAAUAGAAUAAUAUAGAUAUGCAUGUGACUUACUCUUGUUGACUGAGCAAGUGCGUGCUCAGUUCUACCCUUCAGUCUAUAAUAACCUGCCAAGGAAGGAGAGAUGCACUAGACAAAUGAUGUUCCUUUAAUGAAAUCACAUGGACUGUAAACUACAUCAGUCAGAAAGUGUUGUGAAAUUGUAACCAGUUACAUAUGACAAAAAAGCAAGCAAAAUAUGAAGAGGCAAUUAAAAUAAAAAAACAUAGAAAUGCACUGAAAUAAUUUAUUGAAGGAAUGAUCAUUACAGGGCUGAAUAACGCAGAAUAAAAAGAAACAGUCAAAAAGGAAAAAAAAUAACAGACAAAAGGCAACAUGUAGUAUUAAUUUUAUUAAUGACUACCUUG